RNAcentral lists this ribosomal RNA (495 nucleotides) under uncultured bacterium. RNAcentral describes it as "partial 16S ribosomal RNA". It matches the Rfam family "Bacterial small subunit ribosomal RNA", at positions 28 to 507 of the family's 1533-position model. The record is from RNAcentral.
GACGAACGCUGGCGGCGUGCCUAAUACAUGCAAGUAGAACGCUGAAGGAGGAGCUUGCUUCUCCGGAUGAGUUGCGAACGGGUGGGUAACGCGUAGGUAACCUGCCUGGUAGCGGGGGAUAACUAUUGGAAACGAUAGCUAAUACCGCAUAACAGUAGAUGUUGCAUGACAUUUGCUUAAAAGGUGCAAUUGCAUCACUACCAGAUGGACCUGCGUUGUAUUAGCUAGUUGGUGAGGUAACGGCUCACCAAGGCGGCGAUACAUAGCCGACCGGAGAGGGGGAUCAGCCAGACUGGGAGUGAGACACGGCACAGACUCCUACAGGAAGCAGCCGUAGGGAAUCUGCGGCAAUGGACGGAAGUCUGACCGAGCAACGCCGCGUGAGUGAAGAAGGUUUUCGGAUCGUAGAGCUCUGUUGUAAGAGAAGAACGAGUGUGAGAGUGGAAAGUUCACACUGUGACGGUAACUUACAAGAAAGGGACGGCUAACUACGUG